This is a long non-coding RNA of Mauremys reevesii (Reeves's turtle), 2816 nucleotides long. RefSeq lists it as uncharacterized. The record is from RefSeq and is a predicted model, not a curated record. Lineage: Eukaryota; Metazoa; Chordata; Testudines; Geoemydidae. The transcript has 3 exons.
CUCUAGGCCGGGCUCCCUCUUAUGGGGAGGGCUAUGACAGAGAAUCCCCUUCAGAAACUGCUCCAGCUUGCAGCUAGUUUGGGGUUUUCCAGACCCUCUCCCUCCGCUGGUGGGUGGAAACAGUCUUCUCAUUUCCAGCCUCAGCUGAGCCCUGGACCUAGGAUUCCAGAUUAAAAUGUCUCAGUAGCUCCUGGAAAUACAAGGCCUGGUACAUCAGCUGACCAUGGCCUGACAAUGCCAGCAGGAGGACUACCCUGUGGACUCUCAAGCCCCUAAAAGCAAGACUGGGAGUGUCGUGAAUCGUGUGGGGAACUCCAUUUAAGGUGUUGUAGCUUGAUGCCCUCACAGAGGCAACGGAUCGAAUAUAUCUGGACAGUGAGGAACAGACCUUUCUGCGGGGAAGACCAGGAGCGCGUCGGGAUCACUGCAGAUGUAGCAAUCGAGGCUGCCGGAAGCCAGAGUGUGGCCGGUGUUUUCUUUCUGACUCGCUGGACCAUGGCUGUGGCGAUACACGGACGUUCAGGGUGUGACCCCCAAGUCAUUUGGCAGUGAGCGGUCCUGCUUGGGAGCCACGGCAGCAAGGCAUUGUGAGGCACCCCACAUUGCAGGGGAGGUUGUGUAGUUCUAGGAUGAUUGUACAAGUUAUAAAACUCUUCGUGUCACUAAAAUCCAGCCCAUCAACUGGUUAUAAUUCUUCAACUCAUUACUCCUGGGGGAAUUCUGCAGCCCUGUGUGCGCUCAGAAUUUAUGUCCCUUGCAAAUUUCUUUGUUUCCCCACAGAAAAAUGACUUUUUGAUAAGAAAGCCGCAAGAGCGAUUGUGCAGCCUUCCCAGCAGUACGUUUUAGUGUCCAGGGCAGUCGGCAGAGAGGUAAAUCUUGUGGACCAGGGGACGGGACUGGGGAAGACCUGGCUAGUAGCUCCUACCAUGUGCCGGGCUCAGCUGCUAGUCCCAUCUGGGUUGGGGAGGAUGGGACUUCCUCUUCCCCUGCACGGCAUCUGGGGUCGUGUCAGACCCAUGUCCAGAUUUCUCCCCCAGCUGUAGGAAGUGCCAUGUGCACAUCCCACCACCCCUGCACUCAUCGCUCUUCAGCUGCAGGGGCAGGGAUUGCUGUAGAGGGAGCUGCUUCCCCUGUGCCCAACCCCAGGCCUCCUCAUACCCAGACCUUUCCGCCAAGCCUCACCCCCUGCACUCAAAUCCCCUGAUGAACCCCACUUACCCAGCAUCCCCACACCCAGACCCCCACUUCUGCUGAGCCCCAACCACAUUCACCGGGACACUCUGCCCCCCCCCCAGAGUCUCCCAUUACUGUUGAACCCUCCAACAAGCCCCUGUGCAUCUAGGUGCCCCCCCACAGCUGGAUCUGCCACUGAGCCGCCUGCACCCAGAUUGCCCCACCCAGAACCCUCUCAACCCACAGCUGGAUCCCCCCACACUAAGUCCUGCUAGACUUGGACCCUGCCUUGCUGAGCCUGCCUGCCCACAGCUGAUGCACCUGGCAAGGAGGGGCAGGGCUCUGGGCUGUUUCUGGGCCAGGCUCUGUCCUUGCGCUGUGUCAGGGUUGUUGCAGCGUCACCGCUGCUCCCACCUCUAUGAAGCCAGUGACCUGUGCUCCCCAAUGCCAUGCUGGAGCCUCUACAUUUAUUUGACAAAUGAAUUAUGCAGAUUUUUAAAAUAUGUACAGAAUUUGUAUUUUUUUGGUGCAGAAUGUCCUCAGGAGUAACUUGUUCUAUACCUUUCAUUCUCCUUGUUUUGGAUACUAGCAUUCCAGGUACUGACCCCAGAAGUUACCGUUGUAAUUUGUACUGGGGCAAAAUAGAAAUGUAUUUGGAUUUUUGACAAGUGACCGAUCUGCUUAUGUCACAGGCUAAGCGGUACUAUCGCAACAUGUGGAUUACCUCCUUUGCAUUGCCUGGGCGUUCAGUUCGGCCUGCCUUCUGGUUACAACACAGAGCAAUCUACCUCCUGGGACCAGGGGGGUUACUUGUUUGAUGGGUUACCGAAGGACUCAGUGGCUAGUCACAAAUCCCUGCGUUGAGUCUCUGCCACCAGUCUGGUGUCCGUGACACAAGAUGUUAAUGGCAACUGGCAAGGGUGUGUGUGUGUACAGAAACCACCUGUUUGCUAUGAACAUUCUGGUUCUUCCAAAGCAUCUCAGGUGAGGCCUCACCUGAAUGCCGGGGACAUGCUAGUCAUUAAUAUUGUGGUCCAAUGUUGUACAGAUACUAUGUAAGGAGUUGUGUGUGUGUGUGUGUGUGUAUAUAUAUAUAUACUGGAAAAUGUGUAAGGUGGAUGUGUCUGUUUGGAUGUAAAUGUAGCGUAAAAUAACAGAAUGCAUGUCUGUUUACAUACAAAGUCUAUGUAAUGAAGAGAUGUGAACUCUACAGAAAAAGAGCAGGCAGGCAAAAACAAGCCCUGGGGAAUUAUCCUGCCUUAGACUAAAGACAAUGAAUGUCAGGCUAUAUACAGAAGGCACCCCUUCAUCCUGCACCUAGCAAGUGAAUGGACGGCCUGGGUCGCAGGCAGCCUUGGUCGAAAACCCCGCAGCAGACUGGGGGUGAGAGAAACAUCUUCAGCGAGGAGGUUAACUGGAUUGUUUUGUGUCUAGAAAGGGUGCUAUGAUUUUGGUUGCUUAGGUAAUGACUUGGUUCCAACAUUCUUAUUAAACUGUGUGCUUUGUUGAUAAUUUUAUUCUCAUUUUCUGUAAUCUCAGCCCCUGUGCUGAAGCCAAGUGUUGGGGGCCUGAGUUGAAUCUUACAAACCAGCUCUCCUUAUGGCUAAGAGCAAGUGUUGUACUGGGGAUGUGUUCAUGGGCAC